CCUACGAGCGGCAGCAGUGAGGAAUAUUGGUCAAUGGGCUAAGGCCUGAACCAGCCAAGUCGCGUGAGGGAAGACGGUCCUAUGGAUUGUAAACCUCUUUUGUCGGGGAGCAACGAGGCCACGUGUGGCCGAAGUGAGAGUACCCGAAGAAAAAGCAUCGGCUAACUCCGUGCCAGCAGCCGCGGUAAUACGGAGGAUGCGAGCGUUAUCCGGAUUUAUUGGGUUUAAAGGGUGCGUAGGCGGAACAUUAAGUCAGCGGUAAAAACGAGGGGCUCAACCCCUUUAAGCCGUGGAAACUGGUGAGGUUGAGAGGGCGAGAAGUAUGCGCAAUGUGUGGUGUAGAGGUGAAAUGCACAGAGAUCACACAGAACACCGAUAGCGAAGGCAGCAUA
Molecule: ribosomal RNA, 392 nt
Filed under: uncultured bacterium
Lineage: Bacteria
Description: partial 16S ribosomal RNA
Rfam family: Bacterial small subunit ribosomal RNA
Source: RNAcentral